AUGGAUAACUUGCCACUGACCACCAUGGCCGGGGCCGCGGCGUCGUCGUUGGAAGGAGGCGGGAGGGUGGUGGACACGUACAAGAAGGCGCUGACCACGGCGGCGUCCGUGGCCGCGUACGCCAUGCUGGUGCGCAGCAUGGCCAGGGAGCUCCUCCCCGAGGAGCUGCGCGCCGCGGUGCGCUGGGGUGCCGCGUUCGUGCGCGCCCGCCUCGGCGCCGGCGACAAGGAGCGGCACACCAUCGUCAUCCGCCGCCACUUGGACGCCGGGUACAACGAGAACCACCUCUUCGAGGCGGCGCGCGCCUACCUGGCCACCAAGAUCGACCCGAACGCCAUGCGCCGGCUCUGCCUCGCGCGCACCCGGUACAAGGAGCCCGACGGGAGCAGCAGCUGGAGCACACUCCUGUGCAUGGACGAUGGGGGCUCCACCACCGACACCUUCGACGGCGUCGAGUUCAAAUGGACGUCCAUCGAGACCGGCGGCGACGAAGGCAAGAAGGGAAAGGGCCAUCGCGCCCCACCACGCGAGACCCUCGAGCUCAGCUUUGACGCCGAGCACACGGAGGCGGCGCUUGAGCGGUACGUGCCGUUCAUCAUGUCCACGGCGGAGCAGCUGCAGCGGCGGGAUCGCGCGCUCAAGAUCUUCAUGAACGAGGGUCGGUCGUGGCACGGCAUCAACCACCACCACCCGGCCACGUUCGACACUCUCGCCAUGGAUCCGGCACUCAAGCAGGCCGUCACCGACGACCUCGACCGUUUCUUGAAGCGGAAGGAGUACUACCGGCGGAUCGGCAAGGCUUGGAAGCGCGGGUAUCUGCUCUUCGGCCCACAAGUCCAGCCUGGUCGCUGCCAUGGCCAACUACCUCCGGUUCAACCUCUACGACCUCGAUCUCUCCGAGGUGCGCCUCAACUCGGCGCUUCAGAGGCUGCUUAUCGCCAUGCCCAACAAAUCCAUCCUCGUCAUCGAGGACAUCGACUGCUGCUUCGACGCCAAGUCGAGGGAGGACCGCACGAUGCCGGUGCAGGCCGACGACGGCAGUUCAUCAGACGACGACGUCCCGGAGGACAAAGCCCACCACCCGGGACCGCGCCAACAGCAGACCAUAACGCUGUCCGGGCUGCUCAACUUCAUCGACGGGCUGUGGUCGACGAGCGGCGAGGAGCGCAUCAUCAUCUUCACCACCAACUACAAGGACCGCCUCGACCCGGCGCUGCUGCGGCCGGGGCGCAUGGACAUGCACAUCUACAUGGGCCACUGCUGCUGGGAGGCGUUCAAGACGUUGGCCAGGAAUUAUCACCUCGUGGACGACCAUGCUCUGUUCCCACAGAUACAGGAACUGCUUGCGGCGGUGGAGGUGACGCCGGCCGAGGUGUCUGA
This 1380-nucleotide ribosomal RNA is filed under the name Triticum aestivum (bread wheat). RNAcentral's name for it is "partial small subunit ribosomal RNA". Lineage: Eukaryota; Viridiplantae; Streptophyta; Magnoliopsida; Poales; Poaceae. The record is from RNAcentral.